RNAcentral lists this small RNA (75 nucleotides) under Xanthomonas fragariae. RNAcentral describes it as "sX9 sRNA". It matches the Rfam family "Xanthomonas sRNA sX9". The record is from RNAcentral. Lineage: Bacteria; Pseudomonadati; Pseudomonadota; Gammaproteobacteria; Lysobacterales; Lysobacteraceae.
AUGUAUCCUUCGUACACUGCAAUUUCUCCGUACCGUCCGCACCCACCUGGCACUGCUCGCUACGUUUUGUUAGCC